GCGCCCGUAGCUCAGGUGGAUAGAGCACCGGCCUUCUAAGCCGGGGGUCGAAGGUUCGAGUCCUUCCGGGCGCGCCA
This 77-nucleotide transfer RNA is filed under the name Acidobacteriota bacterium. RNAcentral describes it as "Acidobacteria bacterium (groundwater metagenome) tRNA-Arg". It matches the Rfam family "tRNA". From Rfam's summary of the family: Transfer RNA (tRNA) molecules are approximately 80 nucleotides in length. Their secondary structure includes four short double-helical elements and three loops (D, anti-codon, and T loops). Lineage: Bacteria; Pseudomonadati; Acidobacteriota. The record is from RNAcentral.